AGUGAACGUUGGCGGCGUGGAUUAGGCAUGCAAGUCGUGCGACGAGGCCCGCAAGGGUGCUCGAGCGGCGAAAGGGAGAGUAAUGCACGGGUAACCUGCCCCUAGGACUGGGAUAGCCGUGGGAAACUGCGGGUAAUACCAGAUGAUGUCUGAUAGCUUCGGCUAUCGGACCAAAGGUGCGAGUCCGCCUAGGGAGGGGCCCGUGUCCUAUCAGCUAGUUGGUGGGGUAACGGCUCACCAAGGCUACGACGGGUACGGGGUGUGAGAGCAUGUCCCCGCUCACUGGGACUGAGACACUGCCCAGACACCUACGGGUGGCUGCAGUCGAGAAUCUUCGGCAAUGGGCGCAAGCCUGACCGAGCGACGCCGCGUGCGGGACGAAGGCCGUUGUGUUGUAAACCGCUGUCAGGGGGAGGAAAUGUCGGCCUCAGGGUCGGCUUGACCUAUCCCCAGAGGAAGGACGGGCUAAGUCCGUGCCAGCAGCCGCGGUAAAGAGUGGUACA
This 503-nucleotide ribosomal RNA is filed under the name uncultured bacterium. RNAcentral describes it as "bacterial SSU rRNA". It matches the Rfam family "Bacterial small subunit ribosomal RNA", at positions 28 to 536 of the family's 1533-position model. The record is from RNAcentral.